UUCAAGAGGGUAGUGAUUUAUGAACUUCCAAACAUUGAUUGUUAAAUGGCGUUUGAAAGUCCCUUGGCGGCGGGCAAGUUGUUACGUACGAAAUUUAGAAUUAGGUUAAAAGCCCAAGGUAAAAAGAAGAAUGGGCCUGGCAAUAGGGUUGAUUGAACUGGCUGAAGGACACCGUGAGGAAAUCAAGGAAAAUAAAUUUAUUUAUUUAUUUCUAAGGAAAAUACAGGACGGAAAGACCUCAGGACGGAAGGUUCUUAGGUCGGUAGGUCCUCAGGACGGAAAGACCUCAGGUCGGAAGGUCCGCAAGACGGAAAGACCUCAAGUCGGAAGGUCUUCAGGUCGGGAGGUCCGCAAGACGGAAAGACCUCAAGUCGGAAGGUCUUCAGGUCGGGAGGUCCGCAAGAUGGAAAGACCUCAAGUCGGAAGGUCUUCAGGUCGGGAGGUCCGCAAGACGGAAAGACCUCAAGUCGGAAGGUCUUCAGGUCGGGAGGUCCUCGAGACGGAAAGUCGUCGAGAUGGGAUAUCCGCAGGUCGGGUAAACUGUAGGUUGGAUAGAAGGCGGAGUCGGACAAACGCGGAGGCCUUUGAUCAAAGACAGGGGGCGGUUGAUAUGGAGGUCGGCCCAAGUGGGGUCGGGCGAAGAAGUAGGUCGGACGAAGGACGAAGUCGGGCCAAAAGAGCGGAAGGUUUGUGGUCGGCUCAAGGAGUGAAAUAUAGGGAAUUUUGGUCUGCUGGGGACACGUGUCAACAUGAGAAAGGUUGGAAGACGGUUGAGAAGGAGACGUUGUAACCGUUCGGGUGACGGUUUUCAGUACGGUUUCCCAGGGAAUAUUUAAGGUUUGAAUCAUCAUUUGGCAAGAUAUCUUCAAUCAAC
Long non-coding RNA from Andrographis paniculata, 874 nucleotides. RefSeq lists it as uncharacterized. The record is from RefSeq and is a predicted model, not a curated record. Lineage: Eukaryota; Viridiplantae; Streptophyta; Magnoliopsida; Lamiales; Acanthaceae. The transcript has 3 exons.